RNAcentral lists this ribosomal RNA (327 nucleotides) under Triticum aestivum (bread wheat). RNAcentral describes it as "partial small subunit ribosomal RNA". Lineage: Eukaryota; Viridiplantae; Streptophyta; Magnoliopsida; Poales; Poaceae. The record is from RNAcentral.
AUGGUUAAGACUGAACUAAGAGACUACAACUACAGCAACAUGAAGAGACUGGAUGAGGAAAAUCAGUCUCUAAAGUAUGAGCUGGUUGUAGCUAAGCAUAACAAGCAGAAAACAAAGGCAAAUACCAGAUCCAUCAAGAACAAAUUAAUGAUGGCUAGGUAUAAGAACAAGAAAAAUUGCUAUGGGCUGGUUCGUUCUUAUACAAGAUACUUGCAUGGAUUAUCUGGUCAUAUAUGCAAUGUAACAACACUCAACAGAUUGUCUGGGAAAGAACCCAUGGAUCAGCUUAUGAAUGAACCUCUUAACAACAUUGAGAAGAUAGCAUAA